Mytilus trossulus (common blue mussel) is the source of this 543-nucleotide long non-coding RNA. RefSeq lists it as uncharacterized. The transcript has 3 exons. NCBI's taxonomy places the organism in Eukaryota, Metazoa, Mollusca, Bivalvia, Mytilida, Mytilidae. The record is from RefSeq and is a predicted model, not a curated record.
AUUUGAUGUAAACAUAUGAUGUACAUAUAGUCUAGUAACCUUCUAAUAUGCACUUGAGAUUUUCUUAUAUAUAUCAAUUACAACGUUUUCCUACCUUCCAAGCUUCUCAUCAUGUGGAUUUUCGACAAUAGUAAUUUUUCCUAUGGGUGUCAAUUAAAUAGUUUCGAAAUAAACACAGAAUCGGUAACUAUGGAAACCGGUAAAUCGUUAUAACAGGCUGUCACUCAGGAUUUUGACAUUCUCUUUCAAAGAAGUUAGACGAACUAAAAUUUCAUGUUUUUUUUCUGGAUGUCUAACAGAGGAAGGAUGUGCGAAUUUAAAGGAAGAGACAUAGUCAAAAGUCAAACCUGUCAUUCUUGACGUAUUAAAAACAGAAAGCAUCGAAACGGCUUUUGAAUUCGUUCAAUUGACUUUGCCCAAAAAUGCAGACGCGAAUUAUACAAAAGAGGGGUUACUGUUCAUAUAAUUGAACCUGGAUGUUUUAAAACUAGUACAACAUAUCCCGAUGUCAUCUGUAACGCUAUAAUAGAUGAUCACUAUGAC